AGCGAACGCUGGCGGCAGGCUUAACACAUGCAAGUCGAGCGGGCGUAGCAAUACGUCAGCGGCAGACGGGUGAGUAACGCGUGGGAACGUACCUUUUGGUUCGGAACAACACAGGGAAACUUGUGCUAAUACCGGAUAAGCCCUUACGGGGAAAGAUUUAUCGCCGAAAGAUCGGCCCGCGUCUGAUUAGCUAGUUGGUGAGGUAACGGCUCACCAAGGCGACGAUCAGUAGCUGGUCUGAGAGGAUGAUCAGCCACAUUGGGACUGAGACACGGCCCAAACUCCUACGGGAGGCAGCAGUGGGGAAUAUUGGACAAUGGGCGCAAGCCUGAUCCAGCCAUGCCGCGUGAGUGAUGAAGGCCCUAGGGUUGUAAAGCUCUUUUGUGCGGGAAGAUAAUGACGGUACCGCAAGAAUAAGCCCCGGCUAACUUCGUGCCAGCAGCCGCGGUAAUACGAAGGGGGCUAGCGUUGCUCGGAAUCACUGGGCGUAAAGGGUGCGUAGGCGGGUCUUUAAGUCAGAGGUGAAAUCCUGGAGCUCAACUCCAGAACUGCCUUUGAUACUGAGGAUCUUGAGUUCGGGAGAGGUGAGUGGAACUGCGAGUGUAGAGGUGAAAUUCGUAGAUAUUCGCAAGAACACCAGUGGCGAAGGCGGCUCACUGGCCCGAUACUGACGCUGAGGCACGAAAGCGUGGGGAGCAAACAGG
RNAcentral lists this ribosomal RNA (704 nucleotides) under uncultured Bradyrhizobiaceae bacterium. RNAcentral's name for it is "bacterial SSU rRNA". It matches the Rfam family "Bacterial small subunit ribosomal RNA", at positions 28 to 776 of the family's 1533-position model. Lineage: Bacteria; Pseudomonadati; Pseudomonadota; Alphaproteobacteria; Hyphomicrobiales; Nitrobacteraceae. The record is from RNAcentral.